RNAcentral lists this long non-coding RNA (221 nucleotides) under Mytilus galloprovincialis (Mediterranean mussel). Lineage: Eukaryota; Metazoa; Mollusca; Bivalvia; Mytilida; Mytilidae. The record is from RNAcentral.
CCUUGUUAUUAUGAUGUCUCCAAAUCACUUGUUCUGUUGGGUUCAUUCUUCUUUCUUUUUAAAGCUUAUAACUUAAUCCAUGCACAAUUAGACAGAAAACUCUCCAGUCUCAUUUACAAUCUUAAUCCAAAAGCAUACAUUUUAAUUUAAGACUCCAGUUUUUACACCUUGAAAACUGCACUUUAAAUUUAGCAAAUUAAACAAACUGCACCUUUCAAUUU